UACGUAGGCAGCAAGCGUUGUUCGGAAUUACUGGGCGUAAAGAGUGUGUAGGCGGUGCUCCAAGUUUGGUGUGAAAUCUCCCGGCUUAACUGGGAGGGUGCAUUAGAAACUGGAAUGCUAGAGGAUGGGAGAGGUAAGCGGAAUUCCUGGUGUAGCGGUGAAAUGCGUAGAUAUCAGGAGGAACACCUGUGGUGUAGACAGCUUACUGGACCAUUUCUGACGCUGAGACACGAAAGCGUGGGUAGCAAACAGG
This 253-nucleotide ribosomal RNA is filed under the name uncultured bacterium. RNAcentral's name for it is "partial 16S ribosomal RNA". It matches the Rfam family "Bacterial small subunit ribosomal RNA", at positions 524 to 776 of the family's 1533-position model. The record is from RNAcentral.